GUUUAGCUUAACACUUCUAGCUCCUAUAUAUACUGGUCGUGUCAUUUUUCAUCGGAUUGUCUGUCUGAGCUUCUGGCCGGGGUCUUUUUUUUAAUCACUGCAUUUUUAAUUUAAGUUUUAGUGUAUGUGAUUUAAUUUAUAUUUAUUUAUGUAUCACCUAGGUUAUAUACCUUUAAUAAUAAUCAUAUAAAGAAACUGACACUUUUAUUUGUACUCCAACUACGUGGGAAUAUAGGGUCACGACUCACGAACUAGACUCAACUCAAUGGCAUAACUUCCGGCGAUCUCUUCUUUCCUGAAAUCCUGGAACUAUGUCCCUUUCAAUCAAUGGGCAAAUCUGAAAAUUUUGAUGUUAGUGUGUUUAUUGGAAAAAGAUCAUUUUGAAUUAUCUGAUGCAGCAAAGCUAGGUACUAACUGUGUGCGAUCUCGUGAUGGGAAACACCCCCCCUCCAUGGGGAGAUUGGGAAAAGCUGCGUGCGAUCAAGUACUUCAGACCAUUAGCGUGCAAUGUCAUCUACAUGACAUCCGCCGCCAUCAAUGGCAGACCCUCCCUGGACAGCUCCUCUUUGCUAAUAAGGGCGAUCAGAGACACAUGUGAGGAGGCACGCUUAGCUGCAUUUAUCAAAAACUCCUGGAGGCCACGAAAGGCUUUCAGAAGGGAAUACAGGCCUAGACAAACAGAUAACGCUGAUAGACAGUACAGAGAAUCACUGGCAAUGAUCAUGGCACCUCCCAUCGGCGCCCCUGCAAGGGAAAUAGCUUUGGAAAACCUACUCCAGGACGAAGCAAACCCUCAAGCAAAUUUAAAGGAGCAUGAUAACGAUUUGGGCCCAGAGAGAACAAAUUACCCGGUUACAACACCCGACCCGAAUACGUCCGGAAAAGAAAUCAACACAUCAGCGAAUGGCUCGACGGAAAUAGAACCGGCUACCUCUCGAAUCGAAGAAAUCGUAGAAUCCCAUGAACAGAUUGAGGGCCACUCCCUGUCGGUAGAAGAUCGUAGAGGCCGAAGUCACAUCCUAUACAACUUGCCAAAUCUUAACAGCCUCCCGAGGAGAUCCUCGUCCUCGAUGUCUUACUUGAGCGCCUCUCAAUUAAAAAUCAGAAGAAUGAAUGUAAAUUUUGCGGCCACAGAGGACGAUGAAAUCCAAUCCAAGCUGAGAGCAUUGGAAGAGAGAAUCGCCAAAGUCCCAAUUCAACUAUUUAAUCGCUUCCAAGUACUCCAGAGGGGUCCCCCGAAACAGGGCGCGACUCGCGCUGGAACUAAAAGCUCUUAACUAAAAUAACCAUCUCCCCCCCCACCAUGACUCUGCUGGUGUGGAAUGCUAGGGGAUUAUGUUCAACAGAGCGACAAAUGGAACUUAAAAAAUUUUGUAUGGAAAGAUCAAUAGAAAUCUUUGGUGCGAUCGAAAUCAAAAUCAAACCCGAUAGCUUCAAAGACACAGUUGAGAGAAUUGACAAUGAGUGGAAUAUAAUUCACAACCACGACAGCUCCGAUCGUGAUUCCAUCUGGCUGGGAUGGGUCACCGGGAAAUGGAGCGGCAAUAUCCUCCGUCUCCACGAGCAGUACAUACAUAUACGAAUGACGAAUAGAUGCGGGUAUUCAUUCGAUCUCACAGUGGCCUAUGGGGAACACACCAAUUAAGAGAAGAACGCUAUCACUACAAGAAAACAUGGAAACAGCCACGGCCAAGUUCACUGGCUAAAUGGC
RNAcentral lists this long non-coding RNA (1711 nucleotides) under Zostera marina. RNAcentral's name for it is "long non-coding RNA (ZMAR_LNC004051)". The record is from RNAcentral. Lineage: Eukaryota; Viridiplantae; Streptophyta; Magnoliopsida; Alismatales; Zosteraceae.